GUUAAGUGAUCCACCUGGGGAGUACGCCGGCAACGGUGAAACUCAAAGGAAUUGACGGGGGCCCGCACAAGCGGAGGAACAUGUGGUUUAAUUCGAUGAUACGCGAGGAACCUUACCCGGGUUUGAACGCAUUUCGACCGCUCUGGAAACAGAGCCUCUAGCAAUAGCGAUUUGCGAGGUGCUGCAUGGUUGUCGUCAGCUCGUGCCGUGAGGUGUCGGCUUAAGUGCCAUAACGAGCGCAACCCUUGCCACUAGUUACUAACAGGUGAUGCUGAGGACUCUGGUGGGACUGCCAGCGUAAGCUGCGAGGAAGGCGGGGAUGACGUCAAAUCAGCACGGCCCUUACAUCCGGGGCGACACACGUGUUACAAUGGCGUGGACAAAGGGAAGCCACCUGGCGACAGGGAGCGAAUCCCCAAACCACGUCUCAGUUCGGAUCGGAGUCUGCAACCCGACUCCGUGAAGCUGGAUUCGCUAGUAAUCGCGCAUCAGCCAUGGCGCGGUGAAUACGUUCCCGGGCCUUGUACACACCGCCCGUCAAGCCAUGGGAGCCGGGGGUACCUGAAGUCCGUAACCGCGAGGAUCGGCCUAGGGUAAAACUGGUGACUGGGGCUAAGUCGUAACAAGGUAGCCGUACCGGAAGGUGCGGCUGGAACACCUCCUUUCUGGAGC
This 672-nucleotide ribosomal RNA is filed under the name Campylobacter jejuni. RNAcentral describes it as "bacterial SSU rRNA". It matches the Rfam family "Bacterial small subunit ribosomal RNA", at positions 859 to 1533 of the family's 1533-position model. Lineage: Bacteria; Pseudomonadati; Campylobacterota; Epsilonproteobacteria; Campylobacterales; Campylobacteraceae. The record is from RNAcentral.